ACAGGAUUAGAUACCCUGGUAGUCCACGCCCUAAACGAUGAUUACUAGAUGUUGGUGGUAUCGACUCCAUCAGUAUCGAAGCAAACGCGAUAAGUAAUCCGCCUGAGUAGUACGGCCGCAAGGUUGAAACUCAAAGAAAUUGACGGGGACCCGCACAAGCAGAGGAGCAUGCUGUUUAAUUCGAAGCAACGCGAAGAACCUUACCAAGACUUGACAUCCAAUGAAUGCCAUAGAAAUAUGUCAGUUUAGCAAUAAACAUUGAGACAGGUGGUGCAUGGUUGUCGUCAGCUCGUGUCGUGAGAUGUUCGGUUAAGUCCGGUAACGAGCGCAACCCUUAUUACUAGUUGCCAAUAUUAAGUUAGGAACUCUAGUGAGACUGCCGUGGGUAACACGGAGGAAGGUGGGGAUGACGUCAAAUCAUCAUGCCCCUUACGUCUUGGGCUACAGGCGUGCUACAAUGGCCACUACAAAGAGACGCAAGACCGCAAGGUGGAGCAAAUCUCAAAAAAGUGGUCUCAGUUCGGAUUGUGGGCUGCAACCCGCCCACAUGAAGCCGGAUUUGCUAGUAAUCCCGAAUCAGAAUGUCGGGGUGAAUUCGUUCCCGGGUCUUGUACACACCGCCCGUCACGCCAUGGGAGUCGGGAGCACUCGAAACCGGUGUCCUAACCAGCAAUGGAGGGAGCCGUCUAAGGUGAGACUGAUGACUGGGGUGAAGUCGUAACAAGGUAGCCGUACGAGAACGUGCGGCUG
This 750-nucleotide ribosomal RNA is filed under the name human gut metagenome. RNAcentral's name for it is "bacterial SSU rRNA". It matches the Rfam family "Bacterial small subunit ribosomal RNA", at positions 772 to 1520 of the family's 1533-position model. The record is from RNAcentral.